Molecule: ribosomal RNA, 900 nt
Filed under: Candidatus Woesearchaeota archaeon
Lineage: Archaea; Nanobdellati; Candidatus Woesearchaeota
Description: bacterial SSU rRNA
Rfam family: Archaeal small subunit ribosomal RNA
Source: RNAcentral
AUUCCCGUUUAUCCUGCGGGAGGCUGCCGCUAGUAGGAUUCGGAUAAGCCAUGCAAGUCCAGGGGUCCGCAAGGACACCGGCAGACUGCUCAGUAACACGUCGAUAAUGUGCCCUAGGAUUCGGGAUACCCUCGGGAAACUGAGGUUAAACCCGGAUAGGGAGUCGAGGCUGGAAGGCGCUUCUCCUGAAACGUAAGGUCCUAGGAUCAGUUGGCGGCCGAUUAGGUAGUUGGUGGGGUAAUGGCCCACCAAGCCAAUGAUCGGUAGGGGCCCUGGAAGGGGUUGCCCCGAGAAGGGCACUGAGAUACUGGCCCUAGCCCCACGGGGUGCAGCAGGCGCGAGAACUCUACACUACGCGAAAGCGUGAUAGGGGAAUCCUACGUGUCCAUACACCGUAUGGACUUUUGCCAAGAGCAAGAUCCUUGGCGAAUAAGUGGUGGGCAAGACCGGUGCCAGCAGCCGCGGUAAUCCCGGCGCCACAAGUGGGAGCCACUAUUAUUGGGCCUAAAGCGUCCGUAGCCGGUCCGGUAAAUCUUCUGUGAAAUCGUGUGUCUCAAGCUCACGGCGCGCAGGGGACACUGCCGGACUCGAGACCGGGAGGGGUUGGAGGUAUUCCGUGGGGAGCGGUAAAAUGCUAUAAUCCUCGGAGGACCAACUGUGGCGAAGGCGUCCAACUGGAACGGGUCUGACGGUGAGGGACGAAAGCCAGGGGAGCAAACCGGAUUAGAUACCCGAGUAGUCCUGGCCGUAAACGCUGCGAGCAAGGUGUUGCGUAUCUCACGAGGAUGCGCAGUGUCGAAAUGAAGAUGUUAAGCUCGCCGCCUGGGGAGUACGGUCGCAAGGCUGAAACUUAAAGGAAUUGGCGGGGGAGCACUACAAGGGGUGCGGCGUGCGGUUUAA